RNAcentral lists this ribosomal RNA (440 nucleotides) under uncultured bacterium. RNAcentral describes it as "partial 16S ribosomal RNA". It matches the Rfam family "Bacterial small subunit ribosomal RNA", at positions 338 to 795 of the family's 1533-position model. The record is from RNAcentral.
CCUACGGGAGACAGCAGUGGGGAAUAUUGCACAAUGGGGGAAACCCUGAUGCAGCUACGCCGCGUGAGUGAGGAAGUAUCUCGGUACGUAAAGCUCUAUCAGCGGGGAAGAAAAUGACGGUACCUGACUAAGACGCCCCGGCUAACUACGUGCCAGCAGCCGCGGUAGUACGUAGGGGGCAAGCGUUAACCGGAUUUACUGGGUGGAAGGGGAGCGGAGACGGCAGAGCAAGUCUGGAGUGAAAUGUCGGGGCCUAACCCCGGAACUGCUUUGGAAACUGUACAGCUCGAGUGCAGGAGAGGGAAGCGGAAUUCCUAGUGUAGCGGUGAAAUGCGUAGAUAUUAGGAGGAACACCAGUGGCGAAGGCGGCUUACUGGACUGUAACUGACGUUGAGGCUCGAAAGCGUGGGGAGCAAACAGGAUUAGAUACCCGGGUAGUC